Molecule: ribosomal RNA, 253 nt
Filed under: uncultured bacterium
Lineage: Bacteria
Description: partial 16S ribosomal RNA
Rfam family: Bacterial small subunit ribosomal RNA
Source: RNAcentral
UACGUAGGGUGCGAGCGUUGUCCGGAAUUAUUGGGCGUAAAGGGCUCGUAGGCGGUUUGUCGCGUCGGGAGUGAAAACCUCGGGCUUAACUCGGGGCUUGCUUUCGAUACGGGCAGACUGGAGGUAUGCAGGGGAGAACGGAAUUCCUGGUGUAGCGGUGAAAUGCGCAGAUAUCAGGAGGAACACCGGUGGCGAAGGCGGUUCUCUGGGCAUUACCUGACGCUGAGGAGCGAAAGCCAGGGGAGCAAACGGG